UUUUUUUUUUUUUUUUCUUUAUUUGCUGCUAGGAAGGGUACUGCGCUGCCUGUAUGGAAGUGUCCAGUUACUUGGGUACCUCUAGAAAACAGACUCCAGGUCACGUGAUGUUUUUUGUCGGAGCAAGGAUGAGUCACCCUCGCCUGAACGGCGCCUGGCUGUUGCUAUGCGUGUUCUGGGCCUGGGGGCUCACUUUGAGACUCAGACGAGAACGGAAGAAGGUGGGAUUACCGUAACUCGAGAAGCAGGAGAGCGAGUUGCACGGCUGGCCCUCCGUUUCAAGAGACCUCCUGACCCGAGUCUUCUUCAGCUGCGGAUGAUGACCUCUGGAACGGAGACAUGGAUCGUGCCACUGAGAACUUGCUCCGAGCAAAAAGUGUUUUUAUGAAAUCGUGUUAGCUCGUGCGAAUUCACUGAAUAGGAACAAGUGUGUUUUCAUUGAGACAGCUCUCGUCUGCAAACUUGCAUUGUCGGCCUAUUAAAGUCUGAGGUUAAUAAAAUCUGAGGUGAAACGGAGAAA
Long non-coding RNA from Ixodes scapularis (black-legged tick), 520 nucleotides. RefSeq lists it as uncharacterized. The transcript has 2 exons. The record is from RefSeq and is a predicted model, not a curated record. Lineage: Eukaryota; Metazoa; Arthropoda; Arachnida; Ixodida; Ixodidae.